UCGGGAAUUUUGGGCAAUGGGGGCAACCCUGAUCCAGCCAUGCCGCGUGUGUGAAGAAGGCCUUCGGGUUGUAAAGCACUUUCGGACGGAACGAAAUCGCACGGGUGAAUAUCCCGUGUGGAUGACGGUACCGUAAGAAGAAGCACCGGCUAACUACGUGCCAGCAGCCGCGGUAAUACGUAGGGUGCGAGCGUUAAUCGGAAUUACUGGGCGUAAAGUGUGCGCAGGCGGCUUCGCAAGUCGAGUGUGAAAUCCCCGGGCUUAACUUGGGAACGGCGCUCGAAACUACGGAGCUAGAGUAUGGCAGAGGGAGGUGGAAUUCCACGUGUAGCGGUGAAAUGCGUAGAGAUGUGGAGGAACACCAAUGGCGAAGGCAGCCUCCUGGGCCAAUACUGACGCUCAUGCACGAAAGCGUGGGGAGCAAACAGGAUUAGAUACCCUGGUAGUCCCUGAGCGGGCUGGCAAGGCGCAU
This 472-nucleotide ribosomal RNA is filed under the name uncultured bacterium. Its description in RNAcentral is "bacterial SSU rRNA". It matches the Rfam family "Bacterial small subunit ribosomal RNA", at positions 355 to 825 of the family's 1533-position model. The record is from RNAcentral.